RNAcentral lists this transfer RNA (73 nucleotides) under Stegodyphus mimosarum. It matches the Rfam family "tRNA". From Rfam's summary of the family: Transfer RNA (tRNA) molecules are approximately 80 nucleotides in length. Their secondary structure includes four short double-helical elements and three loops (D, anti-codon, and T loops). Further hydrogen bonds mediate the characteristic L-shaped molecular structure. tRNAs have two regions of fundamental functional importance: the anti-codon, which is responsible for specific mRNA codon recognition, and the 3' end, to which the tRNAs corresponding amino acid is attached (by aminoacyl-tRNA synthetases). tRNAs cope with the degeneracy of the genetic code in two manners: having more than one tRNA (with a specific anti-codon) for a particular amino acid; and 'wobble' base-pairing, i.e. permitting non-standard base-pairing at the 3rd anti-codon position. The record is from Rfam by way of RNAcentral. Lineage: Eukaryota; Metazoa; Arthropoda; Arachnida; Araneae; Eresidae.
GCAUUCGUGGUGUAGUGGUCAGCACGCUGGGCGCAUAUUCUAGAGAUCCGUGGUUCGAGUCCCGGCAAAGGUG